ACUCAAAUGAAUUGACGGGGGCCCGCACAAGCGGUGGAGCAUGUGGUUCAAUUCGACGCAACGCGAAGAACCUUACCUGGGUUUGAACUGCAGGUGACAGGCCUGGAAACAGGCCCUUUCCUCUGGAACUCCUGCAGAGGUGCUGCAUGGCUGUCGUCAGCUCGUGUCGUGAGAUGUUGGGUUAAGUCCCGCAACGAGCGCAACCCUUGCCCUUAGUUGCCAUCGGGUCAUGCCGGGCACUCUAAGGGGACUGCCUCGGAAAACGGGGAGGAAGGUGGGGAUGAUGUCAAGUCAUCAUGGCCUUUAUGCCCAGGGCCACACACGUGCUACAAUGGGCGGUACAAAGGGCUGCGAACCCGCGAGGGGGAGCCAAUCCCAUAAAACCGUCCUCAGUUCGGAUUGCAGUCUGCAACUCGACUGCAUGAAGGUGGAAUCGCUAGUAAUCGCGGAUCAGCACGCCGCGGUGAAUACGUUCCCGGGCCUUGUACACACCGCCCGU
RNAcentral lists this ribosomal RNA (499 nucleotides) under uncultured bacterium. Its description in RNAcentral is "partial 16S ribosomal RNA". It matches the Rfam family "Bacterial small subunit ribosomal RNA", at positions 899 to 1397 of the family's 1533-position model. The record is from RNAcentral.